RNAcentral lists this ribosomal RNA (480 nucleotides) under uncultured bacterium. Its description in RNAcentral is "partial 16S ribosomal RNA". It matches the Rfam family "Bacterial small subunit ribosomal RNA", at positions 28 to 523 of the family's 1533-position model. The record is from RNAcentral.
GAUGAAUGCUGGCGGCGUGCUUAACACAUGCAAGUCGAACGAUGAAGUUCCUUCGGGAAUGGAUUAGUGGCGAACGGGUGAGGAACACGUGAGAAACCUGCCUCUCAUUUUGGGAUAACUCCGGGAAACCGGGGCUAACACCGAAUACUCCGUCUCGGCGGCAUCGCUGAGCCGGGAAAAAAUUUUGAUGAAAGAUGGUCUCGCAGCCUAUCAGCUAGUUGGUGAGGUAAUGGCUCACCAAGGCAACGACGGGUAGCCGGCCUGAGAGGGCGGCGGGCCACACUGGGACUGAGCCACGGCCCAGACGCCUACGGGAGGCAGCAGUGGGGAAUAUUGGGCAAUGGGCGCAAGCCUGACCCAGCGACGCCGCGUGAGGGAUGAAGGCCUUCGGGUUGUAAACCUCUUUCAGUAGGGAGGAAGCGAAAGUGACGGUACCUAAAGAAGAAGCACCGGCUAACUAUGUGCCAGCCGCCGCCGUAA